RNAcentral lists this ribosomal RNA (618 nucleotides) under Wittrockiella salina. RNAcentral describes it as "eukaryotic LSU rRNA". It matches the Rfam family "Eukaryotic large subunit ribosomal RNA", at positions 1 to 641 of the family's 3401-position model. The record is from RNAcentral. Lineage: Eukaryota; Viridiplantae; Chlorophyta; Ulvophyceae; Cladophorales; Pithophoraceae.
GUCGACCUGAGUUCAGGCAGGGCUACCCGCUGAACUUAAGCAUAUCAAUAAGCGGUGGAAAAGAAACCAACCGGGAUUCCCUUAGUAACGGCGAGCGAACAGGGAUGAGCCCAGUAUGUAAAUCUCCAGCCUCGGGGCUGGCGAAUUGUAGUCUGGAGGAGUGCUCCCUGGAGGGCUGCUGGCCGAAGUAUACUGGAAGGUAUCGCUGGAAAGGGUGAGAGCCCCGUAGGUCAGUUCUGUCUUCCUUCACGGGACGCUUUCGAAGAGUCGGGUUGUUUGGGAAUGCAGCCCUAAUUGGGUGGUAAACCCCAUCUAAGGCUAAAUAUCAAUGGGAGACCGAUAGCGAAAAAGUACCUCGAGGGAACGAUGAAAAGACCGCUGGCAAGCGAGUAAAAGAGUGCAUGAAAUUGUGUAGUGGGAAGGGAUGACCCGGUAGCAUGCGCUUGGGCUGAUAUGGCUCGACAGAGCUGUUGUUUGCACCAAGUGCUGGCUGGCACCGGCACAUCUGGCUGUACAACCCUUGACUAAGGUGUCAGGCACUGCGGUCGGAUGUGCCGAGGUGGAUCAGUGCUUUGCCCUUCGGGAGCUGCUCUGACAGGGUGCCAGCUGAAGCCGGUU